AGCAGCCGCGGUAAUUCCAGCUCCAAUAGCGUAUAUUAAAGUUGUUGCAGUUAAAAAGCUCGUAGUUGAAUUUCGGGGUUAGCAGGUCGGUCGUGCCAUCGGUAUGAACUGGUCUCGCUGAUCCCUCCCUCUUGACGAACUGUGAUGCCAUUAAUUUGGUGUCGCAGGGAAUCAGGACUGUUACUUUGAAAAAAUUAGAGUGUUUAAAGCAGGCUCACGCUUGAAUACAUUAGCAUGGAAUAAUGAAAUAGGACGUUUGAUCCUAUUUUGUUGGCUUCUAGGAUUGACGUAAUGAUUAAUAGGGAUAGUUGGGGGCAUUAGUACUCAAUUGUCAGAGGUGAAAUUCUUGGAUUUAUUGAAGACUAACUACUGCGAAAGCAUUUGCCAAGGAUGUUUUCAUUAAUCAAGACGAAAGUUAGGGGAUCGAAGACGAUCAGAUACCGUCGUAGU
RNAcentral lists this ribosomal RNA (450 nucleotides) under uncultured Glomeromycotina. RNAcentral's name for it is "SSU rRNA". It matches the Rfam family "Eukaryotic small subunit ribosomal RNA", at positions 569 to 1024 of the family's 1831-position model. The record is from RNAcentral. Lineage: Eukaryota; Fungi; Glomeromycota.